GACGAACGCUGGCGGCGUGCUUAACACAUGCAAGUCGAACGGAAAGGCCCUGCUUUUGUGGGGUGCUCGAGUGGCGAACGGGUGAGUAACACGUGAGUAACCUGCCCUUGACUUUGGGAUAACUUCAGGAAACUGGGGCUAAUACCGGAUAGGAGCUCCUGCUGCAUGGUGGGGGUUGGAAAGUUUCGGCGGUUGGGGAUGGACUCGCGGCUUAUCAGCUUGUUGGUGGGGUAGUGGCUUACCAAGGCUUUGACGGGUAGCCGGCCUGAGAGGGUGACCGGCCACAUUGGGACUGAGAUACGGCCCAGACUCCUACGGGAGGCAGCAGUGGGGAAUAUUGCACAAUGGGCGGAAGCCUGAUGCAGCAACGCCGCGCGCGGGAUGACGGCCUUCGGGUUGUAAACCGCUUUCGCCUGUGACGAAGCGUGAGUGACGGUAAUGUGUAAAGAAGCACCGGCUAACUACGUG
Molecule: ribosomal RNA, 468 nt
Filed under: uncultured bacterium
Lineage: Bacteria
Description: partial 16S ribosomal RNA
Rfam family: Bacterial small subunit ribosomal RNA
Source: RNAcentral